This 253-nucleotide ribosomal RNA is filed under the name uncultured bacterium. Its description in RNAcentral is "partial 16S ribosomal RNA". It matches the Rfam family "Bacterial small subunit ribosomal RNA", at positions 524 to 776 of the family's 1533-position model. The record is from RNAcentral.
UACGAAGGGGGCGAGCGUUAUUCGGAAUCACUGGGCGUAAAGCGUGCGUAGGCGGUUAUGAAAGUUAGAAGUGAAAGCCCAGGGCUUAACCUUGGAAUUGCUUUUAAAACUACAUGACUCGAAUUCGGGAGAGGAUAGCGGAAUUGUCAGUGUAGCAGUGAAAUGCGUAGAUAUUGACAGGAACACCAGUGGCGUAAGCGGCUAUCUGGACCGACAUUGACGCUGAGGCACGAAAGCGUGGGGAUCAAACAGG